CGGCGGACGGGUGAGUAACGCGUGGGUAACCUGCCUCAUACAGGGGGAUAACAGUUAGAAAUGGCUGCUAAUACCGCAUAAGACCACAGUACUGCGUGGUACAGUGGUAAAAACUCCGGUGGUAUGAGAUGGACCCGCGUCUGAUUAGGUAGUUGGUGAGGUAACGGCCCACCAAGCCGACGAUCAGUAGCCGACCUGAGAGGGUGACCGGCCACAUUGGGACUGAGACACGGCCCAG
This 238-nucleotide ribosomal RNA is filed under the name uncultured bacterium. RNAcentral describes it as "partial 16S ribosomal RNA". It matches the Rfam family "Bacterial small subunit ribosomal RNA", at positions 96 to 334 of the family's 1533-position model. The record is from RNAcentral.